Molecule: long non-coding RNA, 1182 nt
Organism: Wyeomyia smithii (pitcher-plant mosquito)
Lineage: Eukaryota; Metazoa; Arthropoda; Insecta; Diptera; Culicidae
Exons: 3
Source: RefSeq, a predicted model, not a curated record
UAGAACCAGUGUUUGAGUGUUGUUUUUGACUCUGGAAGUAAAAUCCUGCCUGAAGCAGGUGGCCGCUGUAGAACAUAGGUAACCCAAACGCGAAUAUAUGUUUAUUCUACGUACGUAUCUUUUACCUAUUGUAUCUGUUGUGAUAUGUAUGCACGUUACGAACCUGUUUAAAAGCUUGAUAAAAUAACAACGCUACUCAAUCAACUUAUAGCAAUUGUGAAGAGAAGUUCGACUAAGUUUUGUUAUCAUGGAUCAAAAGGAUAUAUCUCGGCUGAAAUAUUCGAAAUGCUGUGCAGCUGUUGGCAAUAAGAAGUGCAGCCGUUAGGGUUCACGCAGUUUAUCUUCAACGAUAAUAGAAAAAAAUACGGUCCAUGGGUUAUGACCAGCAACUGGAUGAAUCGAUGCUCAUUUGAGUUUCUUGUCAAGCUGCAUUAUCGCAUAGCAGAAGUGUUCCACAAAAAAAGCGACAAACGGAUGAAUACGAAGCAACGCAAGACUUCGAAGAUCCACAACCAUCAACAAGUAAAAAUCCGCAAGAAUCAACAUGUGAAAAUCCGCAACCACCAACAAUUGAUACUGAGCAGCCAUUAACAAGUUGUGAAGAGAUUAAUGACAUGCUAGAAGCAGUACCGUCAGCUCCAUCAUUACAGUCAAUCGCGUCAGUGGAUCAGCUGCAGGGUUCGUACAAUGUGGAAAAAUUUAAUCGUGCAAACACUGGAAGUUUCCCCCGACCAGGAGCACGAGAAGUACCGAGAUCACGCAGGCAGCGCGACGAAACAUAUUCGGCAUAGAUUCAACGGACAUGGCUAAGCAGGAAGCAUAUGAUGUAAUGAUUAAGCAAUUAUUGGAGAAAUUUGUAGCUCCUACGACAAGCAGGAAUGACCAGGUAAAAAUAUUGUCAGUACUACUAAAAAUCGUGGUCCAUCGCUAAAAUAGUGAAGGAAUUCGAUGCGUCGCCAUAUAUAGUGAAACAGAAGAAAACACUUGUUAACGAUCAGGGUAUACUUUGUACUCCUAAUUCGAAAUGUGGGCGUGGAAUCAGUUAAAUUGAUAAAAAUCGGUAAUAGUUUUUUUUUGACAAUGAUGACAUUAGUAGACCUAUGCCAGGAACUAACGAUUUUGUGUCUGAACUUCGAUGGCAAAAAAGAACAUGUUCAAAAACGUCUAUCAAUGAUGUUUCUC